UUUAAUAUGGCAGAUUAGUGCAGGAGAUUUAAAUUCUUCAUAUAAAAUUUUAUAUUUUUAUUAAAA
Molecule: transfer RNA, 66 nt
Filed under: Ceropales femoralis
Lineage: Eukaryota; Metazoa; Arthropoda; Insecta; Hymenoptera; Pompilidae
Description: tRNA-Leu
Source: RNAcentral